CCGCACUAGUCGGGGAGUUAGCGGUGCCCUGUACCCGCGAUCCGCUACAGCGGGGAUGAAUCCCGGCCCCCGGACGUGUGGAUGUGCCGUCUGCCCUGGAUAAGCAGUGAUGAUAGACCGGUCCCGCGCAACGCGGCUCCGUGAACCGUGUCAGGCGGGGAACCGAGCAGCACUAAGCGGCCCGCCGCGUGUGCCGCGGG
This 200-nucleotide signal recognition particle RNA is filed under the name Lawsonibacter sp. RNAcentral describes it as "partial signal recognition particle sRNA large type". It matches the Rfam family "Bacterial large signal recognition particle RNA", at positions 1 to 197 of the family's 256-position model. Rfam says of the family: The signal recognition particle (SRP) is a universally conserved ribonucleoprotein involved in the co-translational targeting of proteins to membranes. Archaeal SRP consists of a 7S RNA and homologues of the eukaryotic SRP19 and SRP54 proteins. The record is from RNAcentral. Lineage: Bacteria; Bacillati; Bacillota; Clostridia; Eubacteriales; Oscillospiraceae.